CGAGGAGAAGCUCGCAUCCAGAGACGCAUCAGCAUCAAAAAAGCCCUGGAUGCCAAGAUAGCGCGGUACAAGGCUCCGUUCCACCAGCUUCGUAUCCAGUAUGGCACAAACAAAGGAAAGAACUAUACAGAGGAGGAAGACAGGUUUCUGAUUUGCAUGUUG
Sinocyclocheilus anshuiensis is the source of this 162-nucleotide long non-coding RNA. RefSeq lists it as uncharacterized. The record is from RefSeq and is a predicted model, not a curated record. The transcript is spliced from 3 exons. NCBI's taxonomy places the organism in Eukaryota, Metazoa, Chordata, Actinopteri, Cypriniformes, Cyprinidae.